This is a long non-coding RNA of Notolabrus celidotus (New Zealand spotty), 2633 nucleotides long. RefSeq lists it as uncharacterized. The transcript has 2 exons. The record is from RefSeq and is a predicted model, not a curated record. NCBI's taxonomy places the organism in Eukaryota, Metazoa, Chordata, Actinopteri, Labriformes, Labridae.
CAAUUAAACAAUAACAAACAACACCCUCUGCACGUGACGCACAUGAGUCUACAGGUGUCCCCUUAAAGCCUGAACUCUGAACUCAGUCUGAAACAUGAUCAGGAACUGAUCACAGACUUCUAUUGAUCAGUCAUCACUAACCUUACCUCACGUGGGAGCCCAGACUCGAUGCUGAUCCGGGUCCAGGUGUGUCUGCGUCCUCUGUCCUCGUGUCAGCUCCAUCAUUCAUGCACGUGGACCGUCCUCAGUCCUCUCCUGCGUCCUCACUCUGUCAGAUACAUGAGCUCCAUGUUCCCAAACUCAGUGUGUGAGAGUGAUUGAUGAAGAGGAGGAGGGAGACCUUCCCCGAGCCUCAGUGAUCCUUCAGCCCGCCCGAGGGGACCAGGGAGCCGGGGAGCCGCGGAGCCGAGGAGCGGGAGAGUCUGCUGCAGGUGACCGAGAGGAGAUGGAGGCGCGCGGCGUGAGCGGAUAGGGAACCCCGCUGGAUUAUAUCUGUGUGCAAAGUGAGCAACCUCAAGACCAGGACCAGGACCAGGACCCUCUUCAGUCUCUUCGCACCUGUCGGAUUAUCCUCUCUGACCAUGAACGUGUCUCCUCCGGAUCGCAGGAAAAACAUGCGCGAGCUGGCUCUGGAGAUCGGCAUCCGAGUUCUGCUCUUCGGAGUUUUCGUGUGAGUACAAAAACCCUGAACCUGCAGAGUUUUCAGGACCCAGUCCGGCUCUGUGAUCCCAUGCAGUUAGAGGAGGGGGUCUGGUAGUUGAUGCGGGUCUGCGGAUGGAGCGGGGCGGACUGACGCUGCGUUAACAGGUUGCACAAAACAAGUUCUCCUGCAGAAUCCACGGGGUGUGCAUGCUCUGUGUUUGAUUUAGAGACUCAGCUUUGACCCCCCCUCUGUGACAGACAGGGACAGGAUCGAGGGAACCCCAGCAUUAAUAUGAAUCUGGAUUAGAGGAGCUGGUUGUGUGUUUUAUUGAUGUGCCUCAGGUGCUGCAGCUUGUGAUCAGAGUCAGACAUCCUCUCCUGUAAAUAACUAUACCUGCACAGUGUGUGUGUGUAUCAUCAGCUAUCUCUGUACCUGCAGAGUGUGUGUGUUAUCACCUAUCUCUGUACCUGCAGAGUGUGUGUUAUCAUGUAUUCCUGUACCUGGUGCAGCUGUAUAUGUGAUGUCACUGUAACAGGGGUUUGCAGAGACAGGAGCUGCUGCACCUUCACUGAAGAGCUGCAACAAUUAAUCCAUUAAUCUGAUGAUAAAAUGACCUUAAAGUAUCUCUGCUGAGUGUUUAUGAUAUCUUUAAGGUGAAACUUCAAACACUGGCUGACAGGUUGUCAGGGUUUGCUGCUUUUUGUCAUCUCAUUAACUGGAAUUCUACAUUUCCUGAUCUUCACUUUGGUCUCUGAAGGAUUGUGAGGAACAUUUUUAACAACUGUGAACAGAUUAAGGGAUAUAAAAUAAUCAUGAGUAGCAGAUCUUGUUCUCACUGUUUGAUAAAAGAGCACAGACUGAAAUAAGCGUCAGACCUCCUCAUGUAGUUCUUAAUAUGUGUGUGUGUGUGUGUGUGUGUGUGUGUGUGUGUGUGUGUGUGUGUCUGCAGGGCUCACACUGCCUCAGUUUGUUGUUGUGUAUCAGUGCUGGAGGCCACGUAAAAUACAGUUUCACGCAGUAUCAUCAUCCUCAUCAGCCGCUAACAGCUCUGUCACCGAGGCUGCAGUCACACUGAUCUCUGUAAUGAAUGAGUUUUAUACCCUCCCCACACACACACACACACACACACACACACACACACACACACACACUCACACAGGGCGGAGGCAGAUAAACUGUCAGAUACAGAGUCACAUCGCUAAACUGGAUCUGCUUCACACCUCCAGCAGCGUCUCUAAACUGAGAAGCUGACACUGACAUUUUCCAACAGCUCAUUUCACCCAGAGAGGAAAACCUCCACAGAUCCUCAUGAUUCAACGAAAAACCAAAACCUGCAGUUCCUCCAGUGUCCACUAGAGUGUGUCUCCUGCAGUGAGUCAGUCCCCAUAGAGCCCCAUGUUAAAAUGUUACAGCAGAAAUAAACAUGUUUACAGCCUGGUACAAAAACAGUUUGGGUCUCUAUAGCUCAUUUCUCUCUUCAUGACAACUGUACGGCUGAAUUUAUAAACCCCUCACCUGUUGACCUGCUAUGUUAUAAACACAAACGACUGUCAGAGUCAUUACGAGCUCUUUAUUCCUUCCUUGUUUCCGCACUCAGUGAUGAAGAGCGUGAGCGUGCAGCAGCAGAUGUUGAGCUGGUGACACAGUUUAAAUAUCUGAGGACAUGAUUGAUGAUAAUCUCACAAACAUUGAUGCAGUUUGUCUAAAGGAACAUCAGCAGGCGGGUUUUUAUUGCAAGCUGAGGAGUUUCAAUGUUGACCUUGAUUUUAUGAGAUGUUUAUUGAGUCUGUUUAUCUGCUGCUUUGGAUCUCUUACUCUGAAAAACACUGAGAGAGUGUGGAGUUCAAUUUCACCGAAUGUCAUGAGACUUUUUGUCUCCUAUAUAUUUCUGUGUUCAUUGCAUGUAUGAGACAGUGUGUGUUUUGUCUUGUUUUGCACUGUGAGGUGUAAACUAAUUGCCCCUUGGGGUAAUAAAGUUAACCUUGUACCA